AAGCAUUCAAAUGAGGGCAGGUGCAUGGUAUCUAAAUGGGAAAUUGAUCACCAACCCUUCAUCAUAAAGUCAUCCAACUAGAUGAUCAUAUAUUUACAAAUUAAGAUUCUCCAAUUUUCUAUGAAAGUGGGUCCGGGAAGUCACAAUCAGGCAAGCGCGUCUACGGAAAGUCAAACUCCGCGAGAUCAUGGCUAAAACCUUACGCGAGAAACAGAGGAUCCUUACAGAAGUGUUUAUCGCCUUUUUUUCCUUUUUCUUUUUUUAAAAAUUGAACGUUGCCUUGCUAAUUAAAAACUAUUUUUACCAACAUAAUUAAAAACUAU
This 323-nucleotide long non-coding RNA is filed under the name Carica papaya (papaya). Its description in RNAcentral is "long non-coding RNA (CPAP_LNC012333)". The record is from RNAcentral. Lineage: Eukaryota; Viridiplantae; Streptophyta; Magnoliopsida; Brassicales; Caricaceae.